UACAGAGGGUGCGAGCGUUGUCCGGAAUCACUGGGCGUAAAGGGCGCGUAGGCGGUCUCUUAAGCGUGUGGUGAAAGCCCGGGGCUCAACUCCGGGUCGGCCGUGCGAACUGGGGGACUGGAGCGUAUCAGAGGCGGGCGGAAUUCCGGGUGUAGCGGUGAAAUGCGCAGAUAUCGGGAGGAACACCAGUGGCGAAGGCGGCUACCUGGACCAGCACUGACACUGAGGCACGAAAGCGUGGGGAGCAAACAGG
Molecule: ribosomal RNA, 253 nt
Filed under: uncultured bacterium
Lineage: Bacteria
Description: partial 16S ribosomal RNA
Rfam family: Bacterial small subunit ribosomal RNA
Source: RNAcentral